Molecule: ribosomal RNA, 330 nt
Filed under: uncultured bacterium
Lineage: Bacteria
Description: bacterial SSU rRNA
Rfam family: Bacterial small subunit ribosomal RNA
Source: RNAcentral
GAUGAACGCUAGCUACAGGCUUAACACAUGCAAGUCGAGGGGCAGCAUUGGAGUAGCAAUACUUCAGAUGGCGACCGGCGCACGGGUGAGUAACACGUAUCCAACCUGCCGCUUACUCGGGGAUAGCCUUUCGAAAGAAAGAUUAAUACCCCGAUGGUAUAAAGAGUUCGCAUGUUCUCUUUAUUAAAGAAUUUCGGUAAGCGAUGGGGAUGCGUUCCAUUAGAUAGUUGGCGGGUAACGCCCACCAAGUCUACGAUGGAUAGGGGUUCUGAGAGGAAGGUCCCCCCANAUUGGGACUGAGACACGGCCCAGACUCUACGGAGCAGCAGU